This 253-nucleotide ribosomal RNA is filed under the name uncultured bacterium. Its description in RNAcentral is "partial 16S ribosomal RNA". It matches the Rfam family "Bacterial small subunit ribosomal RNA", at positions 524 to 776 of the family's 1533-position model. The record is from RNAcentral.
UACGGGGGGUGCGAGCGUUGUCCGGAAUCACUGGGCGUAAAGGGCGCGUAGGUGGUUUGAUAAGGGUGUGGUGAAAGCCCGGGGCUCAACCCCGGGUCUGCCGUGCCGACUGUCAAACUCGAGGGCCGUAGAGGCAGACGGAAUUCCGGGUGUAGCGGUGGAAUGCGUAGAGAUCCGGAGGAAGACCGGUGGCGAAGGCGGUCUGCUGGGCAGUUUCUGACACUGAGGCGCGACAGCGUGGGGAGCAAACAGG